UUAGCACCAGAUUCAGUGAUCUGACUUUAUUUGUUUAAUAUCGACAAGAGUAGACUAUUUUAGAUUUCACAAGCUUUCUUUUAGACUAUCUACUGGAAAUAUUCCUCUGAUUUUCAAGCAGAAAGGGACACAUUUUGCAUUUUGCUUCCUUCAAGUAGAAGCAUAUUUAACACAUAUAGGGGAAUGAAAAUUGGACUACAUGUGCAAGGAGGAUGGGGGAUCCAAAGGAUUCCAUGUGUAUGUCUGCACACCUAGACAUGGCUGCAGAGACCGAAAAGACAGAGUGGACAUCUCGUGGGUACUAUCACCACCCAUCAAGUUAAAUUAGCAGGAAGAAUCCCCACAGCUCCUCUUCUUAUGGAGGUGCUGGUUACUGAAGCAAGGACAUAUGAGACUUUAGGACAUCUCCUUUGGGACAUCUGAGAAACACAGGGUGAAGAAAAAAGCAGAAGAAAAAAACUACAGAAGAGACAGACACAAGGUGGAGGGCAAAGUGAAUAUGGAGUGCUGCAUGGGGGGUGUCUCCACUGAAGCUGUCCUGGAUAUUCAGAUAGUUGCAGUUGCGCUCCAAAAGGAACUGAACUUUAUUGAAAUCGUUGUUAUAAGCUGCCUGACAAAUGGGCUGAA
Long non-coding RNA from Lepidothrix coronata (blue-crowned manakin), 627 nucleotides. RefSeq lists it as uncharacterized. NCBI's taxonomy places the organism in Eukaryota, Metazoa, Chordata, Aves, Passeriformes, Pipridae. The transcript is spliced from 3 exons. The record is from RefSeq and is a predicted model, not a curated record.